UGGCUCAGAGGUUAAAGCAUCUGCCUGGAAUGUGGGAGACCCAGGUUCGAUCCCUGG
Molecule: transfer RNA, 57 nt
Filed under: Capra hircus (goat)
Lineage: Eukaryota; Metazoa; Chordata; Mammalia; Artiodactyla; Bovidae
Also listed under: 1 other name
Source: Rfam by way of RNAcentral